AGCGAACGCUGGCGGCAGGCCUAACACAUGCAAGUCGAACGAACCUUUCGGGGUUAGUGGCGGACGGGUGGGGAACACGUGGGAACGUGCCUUUAGGUUCGGAAUAACUCAGGGAAACUUGUGCUAAUACCGAAUGUGCCCUUCGGGGGUAAGAUUUAUCGCCUUUAGAGCGGCCCGCGUCUGAUUAGCUAGUUGGUUGAGGUAAUGGCUCACCAAGGCGACGAUCAGUAGCUGGUCGGAGAGGAGGAUCAGCCACAUUGGGACUGAGACACGGCCCAAACUCCGACGGGAGGCAGCAGUGGGGAAUCUUGCGCAAUGGGCGAAAGCCUGACGCAGCCAUGCCGCGUGAAUGAUGAAGGUCUUAGGAUUGUAAAAUUCUUUCACCGGGGGCGAUAAUGACGGUACUCGGAGAAGAAGCCCCGGCUAACUUCGUG
RNAcentral lists this ribosomal RNA (434 nucleotides) under uncultured bacterium. RNAcentral's name for it is "partial 16S ribosomal RNA". It matches the Rfam family "Bacterial small subunit ribosomal RNA", at positions 29 to 507 of the family's 1533-position model. The record is from RNAcentral.